RNAcentral lists this ribosomal RNA (1155 nucleotides) under uncultured archaeon. RNAcentral's name for it is "bacterial SSU rRNA". The stretch from base 240 to 1155 matches the Rfam family "Archaeal small subunit ribosomal RNA", at positions 1 to 922 of the family's 1478-position model. The record is from RNAcentral.
ACGUAUUGCGAGGAUUACCGAGGCUGCCUAACUAGCGCAUCAAGAGCAGAGGUGAUGAGUCAUUAGCGGGUUGAAUUCCGCACAAUGCUAGGAGAAUCGCAUCAGGUCCAUGGCCAUCCAGCUGGCCACCGUUGAGCCAUCGGUGCGGCCUUUUCGCUAUACGCAGCUGCGAAAGGGGAUGUGCUGCAAGCGAUAGUGGGUACGCAGGGUUUUCCAGUCACGACGUGUAAACGACGCCAGUUCCGGUUGAUCCUGCCGGAGGUCACUGCUAUUGGGAUUCGAUUAAGCCAUGCGAGUCGAGAGGGUUCGGCCCUCGGCUGACGGCUCAGUAACACGUGGAUAAUCUGCCCUUAGGUGGAGGAUAAUCUCGGGAAACUGAGGACAAUACUCCAUAGGUUUAGGAGGCUGGAAUGCAUCUAGACUGAAAGCUCCGGCGCCUAAGGAUGAGUCUGCGGACUAUCAGGUAGUAGUCAGGGUAAAGACCUGACUAGCCUACGACGGAUACGGGUUGUGAGAGCAAUAACCCGGAGACGAUAUCUGAGACACGAUAUCGGGCCCUACGGGGCGCAGCAGGCGCGAAAACUUCACACUGUGCGAAAGCACGAUGAGGGAAUCCCAAGUGCUUGCUCGUAAGAGUAAGCUGUUUUUCUGUCUAAAACGCAGAGAGAGUAAGAGCUGGGUAAGACGGGUGCCAGCCGCCGCGGUAAUACCUGCAGCUCAAGUGGUGGCCGCUAUUAUUGGGCCUAAAACGUCCGUAGCCGGUUUAGUAAAUGCCUGGGUAAAUCGUGUAGCUUAACUAUACGAAUUCCGGGUAGACUGCUAAACUUGAGACCGGGAGAAGCCAGAGGUACUCCUAGGGUAGAGGUGAAAUUCUGUAAUCCUAGGGGGACCACCAGUGGCGAAGGCGUCUAGCUAGAACGGGUCUGACGGUGAGGGACGAAACCCUGGGGCGCAAACCGGAUUAGAUACCCGGGUAGUCCAGGGCGUAAACGCUGCUUGCUUGAUGUUAGUUGGGCUCCGAGCCCAAUUAGUGUCGGAGAGAAGUUGUUAAGCAAGCUGCCUGGGAAGUACGGUCGCAAGGCUGAAACUUAAAGGAAUUGGCGGGGGAGCACAGCAACGGGUGGAGCGUGCGGUUUAAUUGGAAUCAACGCCGGA